GACGAACGCUGGCGGCGUGCUUAACACAUGCAAGUCGAACGGUAAGGCUCCAGCUUGCUGGGGUACACGAGUGGCGAACGGGUGAGUAACACGUGGGUGACCUGCCCUGCACUUCGGGAUAAGCCUGGGAAACUGGGUCUAAUACCGGAUAGGACUGCGCCGUGAGGGUGUGGUGGAAAGUUUUUUCGGUGUGGGAUGGGCCCGCGGCCUAUCAGCUUGUUGGUGGGGUAAUGGCCUACCAAGGCGGCGACGGGUAGCCGGCCUGAGAGGGUGGACGGCCACAUUGGGACUGAGACACGGCCCAGACUCCUACGGGAGGCAGCAGUGGGGAAUAUUGCACAAUGGGCGGAAGCCUGAUGCAGCGACGCCGCGUGGGGGAUGACGGCCUUCGGGUUGUAAACUCCUUUCACCAUCGACGAAGGGUUUCUGACGGUAGAUGGAGAAGAAGCACCGGCUAACUACGUG
This 465-nucleotide ribosomal RNA is filed under the name uncultured bacterium. RNAcentral's name for it is "partial 16S ribosomal RNA". It matches the Rfam family "Bacterial small subunit ribosomal RNA", at positions 28 to 507 of the family's 1533-position model. The record is from RNAcentral.